This 254-nucleotide ribosomal RNA is filed under the name uncultured bacterium. Its description in RNAcentral is "partial 16S ribosomal RNA". It matches the Rfam family "Bacterial small subunit ribosomal RNA", at positions 524 to 776 of the family's 1533-position model. The record is from RNAcentral.
UACGUAGGGCGCAAGCGUUGUCCGGAAUUAUUGGGCGUAAAGAGCUCGUAGGCGGUCUGUCGCGUCGGCUGUGAAAUCCCGAGGCUCAACCUCGGGUCUGCAGUCGAUACGGGCAAACUAGAGUAUUGCAGGGGAGACUGGAAAUUCCUGGUGUAGCGGUGAAAUGCGCAGAUAUCGGGAGGAACACCGGUGGCGAAGGCGGUUCUCUGGGCCUUACCUGACGCUGAGGAGCGAAAGCGUGGGGAGCGAACAGG